AUGGCGUCCACGCUUUGCUCUCCCCGCCACCACGACCGCUCACAUCUCUGCCGCCGCCUGCGCCCCCGCCCCUCCCCUCCCGGCCACGCUCGUCCCCGGAGCGGCGCCGCCGGCCCAUCAGGAUUGAACACCACGAAAUACCUUUGUUCCCACCCAAUGUCCACCGGCAGGGGUUCUCCCGUAUCGUGUUCAUCCGUGGAAGCAUCCAAAAGCAAGCAAGGACCAGAACAUCUCAUUGUUCUGGUUCAUGGUAUCAUGGCAAGCCCCAGUGACUGGACAUAUGGGGAAGCAGUGCUGAAAAAGAGGCUUGGUGAUAAUUUCUUCAUCUAUGCUAGUUCAUCAAACAUCUACGCCAAAUCUUUUGACGGAAUCAAUGUAGCUGGAAGGAGGUUAGCGAAAGAAGUCUUGGACGUGGUUCAGAAGAUGGCCGGCUUGAAAAAGAUUUCCUUCAUAGCACAUUCUUUGGGUGGUUUGUUUGCUAGAUAUGCUAUUUCUAUACUAUAUUCACAGCAAGCAAAAGAAACUGGAAGUGGUGCUGGUGUCAUGCUGACAAGUGGAGGAUCUGAAAUAUCACGCACUUCAGGAUUAGGUGCCAUUGCUGGGUUGGAGCCAACUAAUUUUAUUACAUUGGCAACCCCACAUCUUGGUGUUAGAGGAAAAAAUCAGCUUCCAUUUCUUCAAGGGCUGUCAAUUCUAGAGAAACUUGCAGCACCUUUGGCACCCUUCAUUGUCGGACGCACUGGUGCUCAACUCUUUCUCACUGAUGGCGAACCUAGCAAGCCACCUCUCCUUCUACUAAUGACAUCUGACCACGAGGACAAAAAGUUCAUAUCUGCACUAGCAGCUUUUAAGAACCGCAUUCUGUAUGCUAAUGUUUCAUAUGACCAUAUGGUUGGUUGGAAAACAUCCUCAAUAAGGAGAGAAUUGGACCUUAGAAAGCCCUUGCAUCGUUCAGUUGAUGGCUACAAGUACAUUGUGAAUGUGGAAUACUGUUCGCCUGUGUCGUCCGACGGUCCCCAUUUUCCUUUGCGGGCAGCCAGAGCUAAAGAAGCUGCACAAAGUACACCGAACAUGGAAAAUACCCAGGAAUAUCACCAGAUGAUGGAGGAGGAGAUGAUUCGUGGGUUGCAGAGAGUGGGUUGGAAGAAAGUAGAUGUGAACUUCCAUGCAUCAAUGUGGCCUUACUCUGCUCACAACAACAUGCAUGUUAAGAAUGAGUGGCUUCACAAUGCGGGUGCCGGUGUGAUCGCCCACGUCGCAGACAGCUUGAAACAGACAUGUCUGCCCUCCAGCCUGUGA
This 1299-nucleotide ribosomal RNA is filed under the name Triticum aestivum (bread wheat). Its description in RNAcentral is "partial small subunit ribosomal RNA". Lineage: Eukaryota; Viridiplantae; Streptophyta; Magnoliopsida; Poales; Poaceae. The record is from RNAcentral.